This 707-nucleotide long non-coding RNA is filed under the name Homo sapiens (human). Its description in RNAcentral is "HSALNT0326240". Lineage: Eukaryota; Metazoa; Chordata; Mammalia; Primates; Hominidae. The record is from RNAcentral.
UUCGAUGUGUUUUCAUAGCUUGAUAGCUCAUUUCAUUUUAGCACUGAAUAAUAUUUUAUUGUCUGGAUGUACCACAGUUUACUUUGUUGCUUCCAAGUUUGGACAACUAUGAAUAAAGCUGCUAUAAACAUCCAUGUGCAGGUUUUCAUGUAGACAUAAGUUUUCAAUAUCUUUGGGUAAAUGCCGAGGAAUGUGAUUGCUGGAUUGUAUGAUAAGAGUAUGCUUAGUUUUGGGAGAAACUGCCCAGCUGUCUUUCAAAGUGGCUGUUCCAUUUUACAUUCCCACGAGCAAUGAAUGAGAGCUCCUGUUGCUCCACAUCUUCAAUAUUUGGUAUUGUCAGUGUUCUGGAUUUGGGUCAUUCUAAUAGGGUGGGCCCUAAUCCAAUCUGUCAUUAUAAGAAGAGGAAAUUUGGACACAAAAAGAGACACCAGGGGCGUAUGUACACAGAGAAAAGAUCACGUGAGGACACAGAGAGGUCUGCAAACCAAGAAGAGAAGCCUCAGAAGAAACAAAACCAGCCAACCCCUUGAUCUUGGACUUGUAGCUUCCAGAAUUGUGAGGAAAUAAAUUUCUGUUUUAAAGCCACUCCAUUUUUGUUAUUUUGUUAUGGCAGCCCUAGCACACUAAUAGUGUUUUACCACAGGAGUCUCCAACUUAAAAUUUUUCAAAACCUUUUUCAACUUUUAAAAUCAGUCCCUUCAUCUUCC